Molecule: ribosomal RNA, 442 nt
Filed under: uncultured bacterium
Lineage: Bacteria
Description: partial 16S ribosomal RNA
Rfam family: Bacterial small subunit ribosomal RNA
Source: RNAcentral
CCUACGGGUGGCUGCAGUGGGGGAUAUUGCACAAUGGGGGAAACCCUGAUGCAGCGACGCCGCGUGGGCGAAGAAGUAUUUCGGUAUGUAAAGCUCUAUCAGCAGGGAAGAAGAAAUGACGGUACCUGAGUAAGAAGCACCGGCUAAAUACGUGCCAGCAGCCGCGGUAAUACGUAUGGUGCAAGCGUUAUCCGGCUUUACUGGGUGUAAAGGGAGCGCAGGCGGCACGGCAAGCCUGAUGUGAAAGCCCGCGGCCCAACGGCGGGACUGCAUUGGGAACUAGCGGGCUGGAGUGCCGGAGAGGAAGGCGGAAUUCCUAGUGUAGGGGUGAAAUGCGUAGAUAUUAGGAGGAACACCAGUGGCGAAGGCGACCAUCUGGAAGGUGACUGACGCUGAGGCGCGAAAGCGUGGGUAGCAAACAGGAUUAGAUACCCGUGUAGUC